Mercurialis annua (annual mercury) is the source of this 678-nucleotide long non-coding RNA. RefSeq lists it as uncharacterized. The record is from RefSeq and is a predicted model, not a curated record. The transcript is spliced from 4 exons. NCBI's taxonomy places the organism in Eukaryota, Viridiplantae, Streptophyta, Magnoliopsida, Malpighiales, Euphorbiaceae.
AGAAUUGAGUAGAGAUAGGCUUCAUCUUCAUCUCCUUCCUCCUACUUCAUGUCAAAAAUUCAAAUCCACCUACAAGCUUCGUUUCUCGUCCUAUUCGCGUGAUUCUUGCGGCAACGGAACGAGAGAGAGAUUCGCUACUCAUCUAACUCAUCAAUUUAAGCUUGUAGAUUCUUCGUUUGAUAUCGGAAUUGAGCGAUUUUAGCGGCGAUGGAAUGAGGGAAGGAUUUCCUACUGAUCUAGACUAACAUCUGAAGACUUGACGAGACGACCACCAAUGGAACCCGAAACUUAUGGAACGCGAGAUCGCUAGGUAUUAUCGAAGAUUAUGGAUAGCAAGCGUGUGUUUUUCAGGUACCUAGAUUCUAGACGUCGCUAGAAGUUCGUCUUUAACCGGAAGUUCCUUUGGCUAUGUACAGCCCCGACUUCCGUAGAUGCUGCAGUAGUAUGAUGUCUGACCAGUGUCGUGGCCUAUUACAGCAGUGAAAUUUUAUAUGGUUUAUAAUUAAUGUCUGUUGUGUAUAUGAGGUCUGGCUACAAUAGUUAUCACGGAGGUAAAUUCCCGUGAUGUAACUUUGACACUAGUGGUAUAUGCCGGGUUAGUACGUACAAGGUACGGAAACGAUAGACCCGAGCAAGUUGUAAUGUUUUACCAGUGCAAAUAAAUGUGUCUUUGUUAAA